RNAcentral lists this ribosomal RNA (433 nucleotides) under uncultured bacterium. RNAcentral's name for it is "partial 16S ribosomal RNA". It matches the Rfam family "Bacterial small subunit ribosomal RNA", at positions 29 to 507 of the family's 1533-position model. The record is from RNAcentral.
AACGAACGCUGGCGGCAUGCCUAACACAUGCAAGUCGAACGAGACCUUCGGGCUUACUCGUGCACUCGUCGGUAGAGCGUUGGGUCCUGCCUAUAGAUCUGCAAUAACGUGCCGAAUGAGGUCCUAAUACCGGCUCUUGUCUCCCAUCCAUAGUUUUAUAGACUUUGGAUGGGCCUGGGUUGGAUUAGCUAGUGGUUAGGGUAAAAGCCUACCAAGGCGACGAUCCAUAGCUGGGUUGAGAGGAUGGUCAGCCACACUGGUAGUGAGACACGGUCCAGAAUCCUACGGGAGGCAGCAGUGGGGAAUAUUGGACAGUGGGCGAAAGCAUGAUCCAGCAAUGCCGCGUGAGUGAUGAAGGCCUUAGGGUUGUAAAGCUAUUUUACCCGGGAUGAUAAUGACAGUACCGGGAGAAUAAGCACCGGCUAACUCCGUG